This is a long non-coding RNA of Acyrthosiphon pisum (pea aphid), 413 nucleotides long. RefSeq lists it as uncharacterized. The record is from RefSeq and is a predicted model, not a curated record. NCBI's taxonomy places the organism in Eukaryota, Metazoa, Arthropoda, Insecta, Hemiptera, Aphididae. The transcript is spliced from 2 exons.
AGAACUCAGAAAAAAUAUAUAUUUACCUAUCAGAAAAUCAUCAUUAAAUAUGUUUAAAUUGCGAAAUAUAUAGUGAAAAAUUCAUCAAAAUUUCCAAAAUUUAGCAACUUUUCUUCUUCGACGACAACUUAAAUCUUAAAAAUAUUAUCUUAAUAAAGUAAUAAGUAGGUUUAAAAUACUGUUAUAUCAUGGUUGCUAAAUUCUUUUUUUUUUAAUGGUUAAUGGAUGCAGGUAAAUUUUCUAGAAUCAUAUUAUUCAUCCAAAAUGUUGUGUUUGUUUUGGAUCAAUUGAUUUCAGUUUUGGAGUUAACUUUCAAAUUGGUCCAUUUGGUAGGCCUGUGGUUGUUUAAAAACGUUCAAGUGCAGCCACCUGAACAAGUCAGGCCUACUACCCGUUGCGGUUAAGGUCUCUAA